RNAcentral lists this long non-coding RNA (273 nucleotides) under Capsella rubella. RNAcentral describes it as "long non-coding RNA (CRUB_LNC002357)". Lineage: Eukaryota; Viridiplantae; Streptophyta; Magnoliopsida; Brassicales; Brassicaceae. The record is from RNAcentral.
GGUGAUGAAUUCAUGUUUUCAUGUCUAUGAACUGAACUAACGGUAGAAUUAAAUUGUAGUAAUUAGAGCUAUUAUAUAUAUAUGACCAGAACAUUGAGAAUUUUGGUAUUUUUUUUUUUUUGGAACAAAUUUUUUGGUAUUUUCUAGAUCAACAAAAGAGUGACUAAAUUUGCAGAAACAUAGAGAAAACUAGAGUCCAGACCAUUUAUAUACUCAGUUUAUUUCUAUUUGUUUUUGUUUUCUCAUACAAACGCCUAUAAGAUCAUCUCCAAU